CCUACGGGAGGCAGCAGUGAGGAAUAUUGGUCAAUGGUCGGGAGACUGAACCAGCCAAGCCGCGUGAGGGAUGAAGGUACAGAGUAUCGUAAACCUCUUUUGUCAGGGAACAAAGGCGGGGACGUGUCCCCGGCUGAGUGUACCUUACGAAAAAGCAUCGGCUAACUCCGUGCCAGCGGCCGCGGUAAUACGGAGGAUGCGAGCGUUAUCCGGAUUUAUUGGGUUUAAGGGGUGCGCAGGCGGUCUGUUAAGUCAGCGGUCAAAGCCCGGGGCUCAACCCCGGCCCGCCGUUGAAACUGGCAGUCUCGAGUUGGAGAGAAGUAGGCGGAAUGCGCGGUGUAGCGGUGAAAUGCAUAGAUAUCGCGCAGAACUCCGAUUGCGAAGGCAGCAUGCCGGCUCCACACUGACGCUGAGGCACGAAAGCGUGGGUAUCGAACAGGAUUAGAUACCCUUGUAGUC
This 459-nucleotide ribosomal RNA is filed under the name uncultured bacterium. RNAcentral describes it as "partial 16S ribosomal RNA". It matches the Rfam family "Bacterial small subunit ribosomal RNA", at positions 338 to 795 of the family's 1533-position model. The record is from RNAcentral.